AGAUAUGGUCCCGAGCCCUACGGGGUUUAGCAUGGAGGAAUCUUGCGCAAUGGGCGAAAGCCUGACGCAGCGACGCCGCGUGGGGGAUGAAGGCCUUCGGGUUGUAAACCCCUUUUCUGGGGGACGCAAAUGACGGUACCCCAGGAAUAAGCCACGGCUAACAGGGUGCCAGCAGCCGCGGUAAUACCUUGGUGGUAAACGUUAUCCGGAAUCACUGGGCGUAAAGCGCUCGUAGGCGGCACGACAGGUGUUCGGUGAAAGCCCCCGGCUCACCCGGGGAGGGUCCGAGCAAACCGUCGAGCUAGAGGCAGGCAGAGGACCGUGGAACGUCCGGGGGAGUAGUGGAAUGCGUAGAUCCCGGACGGAACACCAGAGGCGAAGGCGGCGGUCUGGGCCUGUCCUGACGCUGAGGGGCGAAAGCGCGGGGAGCAAACUGGAUUAGAUACCCUGGUAGUC
This 456-nucleotide ribosomal RNA is filed under the name uncultured bacterium. RNAcentral describes it as "bacterial SSU rRNA". It matches the Rfam family "Bacterial small subunit ribosomal RNA", at positions 322 to 795 of the family's 1533-position model. The record is from RNAcentral.